RNAcentral lists this ribosomal RNA (699 nucleotides) under uncultured bacterium. Its description in RNAcentral is "bacterial SSU rRNA". It matches the Rfam family "Bacterial small subunit ribosomal RNA", at positions 1 to 751 of the family's 1533-position model. The record is from RNAcentral.
AAGAAGUUUGAUCCUGGCUCAGAACGAACGCUGGCGGCAGGCCUAACACAUGCAAGUCGAGCGCUCUCUUCGGAGGGAGCGGCGGACGGGUUAGUAACGCGUGGGGAUGUACCCUUCUCUAAGGAAUAGCCAUUGGAAACGAUGAGUAAUACCUUAUACGCCCUUCGGGGGAAAGAUUUAUCGGAGAGGGAUCAGCCCGCGUAAGAUUAGAUAGUUGGUGGGGUAAUGGCCUACCAAGUCUACGAUCUUUAGCUGGUUUUAGAGGAUGAUCAGCAACACUGGGACUGAGACACGGCCCAGACUCCUACGGGAGGCAGCAGUGGGGAAUCUUGGACAAUGGGCGCAAGCCUGAUCCAGCCAUGCCGCGUGUGUGAUGAAGGCCUUAGGGUCGUAAAGCACUUUCGCUAGAGAUGAUAAUGACAGUAUCUAGUAAAGAAGUCCCGGCUAACUCCGUGCCAGCAGCCGCGGUAAUACGGAGGGGACUAGCGUUGUUCGGAAUUACUGGGCGUAAAGCGUACGUAGGCGGAUCAGAAAGUAUGGGGUGAAAUCCCAGGGCUCAACCCUGGAACUGCCUCAUAAACUCCUGGUCUUGAGUUCGAGAGAGGUGAGUGGAAUUCCGAGUGUAGAGGUGAAAUUCGUAGAUAUUCGGAGGAACACCAGUGGCGAAGGCGGCUCACUGGCUCGAUACUGACGCUGAGG